RNAcentral lists this ribosomal RNA (253 nucleotides) under uncultured bacterium. RNAcentral's name for it is "partial 16S ribosomal RNA". It matches the Rfam family "Bacterial small subunit ribosomal RNA", at positions 524 to 776 of the family's 1533-position model. The record is from RNAcentral.
UACGUAGGGUGCGAGCGUUAAUCGGAAUUACUGGGCGUAAAGCGUGCGCAGGCGGUUUUGUAAGACAGAUGUGAAAUCCCCGGGCUUAACCUGGGAAUGGCGUUUGGGACUGCAAGGCUCGAGUGCGGCAGAGGAGACUGGAAUUCCUGGUGUAGCAGUGAAAUGCGUAGAUAUCAAGAGGAACGCCGGUGGCGAAAGCGAUUCUCUGGAUCGUUCCUGACACUGAGGCGCGAAAGCUAGGGGAGCAAACAGG